RNAcentral lists this ribosomal RNA (292 nucleotides) under uncultured microorganism. RNAcentral describes it as "partial 16S ribosomal RNA". It matches the Rfam family "Bacterial small subunit ribosomal RNA", at positions 505 to 796 of the family's 1533-position model. The record is from RNAcentral.
GUGCCAGCAGCCGCGGUAAUACGUAGGGCGCAAGCGUUGUCCGGAAUUAUUGGGCGUAAAGAGCUCGUAGGCGGUUUGUCGCGUCUGCUGUGAAAGCCCGGGGCUCAACCCCGGGUCUGCAGUGGGUACGGGCAGACUAGAGUGCAGUAGGGGAGACUGGAAUUCCUGGUGUAGCGGUGAAAUGCGCAGAUAUCAGGAGGAACACCGAUGGCGAAGGCAGGUCUCUGGGCUGUUACUGACGCUGAGGAGCGAAAGCAUGGGGAGCGAACAGGAUUAGAUACCCUGGUAGUCC